Molecule: ribosomal RNA, 546 nt
Filed under: Escherichia coli
Lineage: Bacteria; Pseudomonadati; Pseudomonadota; Gammaproteobacteria; Enterobacterales; Enterobacteriaceae
Description: partial 23S ribosomal RNA
Rfam family: Bacterial large subunit ribosomal RNA
Source: RNAcentral
GGUUAAGCGACUAAGCGUACACGGUGGAUGCCCUGGCAGUCAGAGGCGAUGAAGGACGUGCUAAUCUGCGAUAAGCGUCGGUAAGGUGAUAUGAACCGUUAUAACCGGCGAUUUCCGAAUGGGGAAACCCAGUGUGAUUCGUCACACUAUCAUUAACUGAAUCCAUAGGUUAAUGAGGCGAACCGGGGGAACUGAAACAUCUAAGUACCCCGAGGAAAAGAAAUCAACCGAGAUUCCCCCAGUAGCGGCGAGCGAACGGGGAGGAGCCCAGAGCCUGAAUCAGUGUGUGUGUUAGUGGAAGCGUCUGGAAAGGCGCGCGAUACAGGGUGACAGCCCCGUACACAAAAAUGCACAUACUGUGAGCUCGAUGAGUAGGGCGGGACACGUGGUAUCCUGUCUGAAUAUGGGGGGACCAUCCUCCAAGGCUAAAUACUCCUGACUGACCGAUAGUGAACCAGUACCGUGAGGGAAAGGCGAAAAGAACCCCGGCGAGGGGAGUGAAAAAGAACCUGAAACCGUGUACGUACAAGCAGUGGGAGCCUCUUU